ACGAUAGAGGCGCGGUCCUUAUAAGUAGCGUGGCUUUGGCACGGAAAUGCCGCACGCGAAAGGAAGUACCGCCGAAAUCCUCCGGCAGUUUCCGGUGCCGGUCGGUUGGGGUGCGACAGAAUAUGCCGUACACUGUCACUGCUUAAGUGGAGCGCUAUCGGG
This 162-nucleotide non-coding RNA is filed under the name human gut metagenome. RNAcentral's name for it is "Lysine riboswitch". It matches the Rfam family "Lysine riboswitch aptamer". Rfam says of the family: Riboswitches are metabolite binding domains within certain messenger RNAs that serve as precision sensors for their corresponding targets. Allosteric rearrangement of mRNA structure is mediated by ligand binding, and this results in modulation of gene expression. The record is from RNAcentral.